GGAUGAACGCUGGCGGCGUGCCUACUACAUGCAAGUCGAGCGAACAGACGAGGAGCUUGCUCCUCUGACGUUAGCGGCGGACGGGUGAGUAACACGUGGAUAACCUACCUAUAAGACUGGGAUAACUUCGGGAAACCGGAGCUAAUACCGGAUAAUAUAUUUAACCGCAUGGUUCAAUAGUGAAAGACGGUUUUGCUGUCACUUAUAGAUGGAUCCGCGCCGCAUUAGCUAGUUGGUAAGGUAACGGCUUACCAAGGCAACGAGGCGUAGCCGACCUGAGUGGAUGAGCGGCCACACUGGAACUGAGACACGGUCCAGAAUCCUACGGGAGGCAGCAGUAGGGAAUCUUCCGCAAUGGGCGAAAGCCUGACGGAGCGACGCCGCGUGAGUGAUGAAGGUCUUCGGAUCUUAAAACUCUGUUAUUAGGGAAGAACAAAUGUGUAAAUAACUAUACACGUCUUGACGGUACCUAAUCAGAAAGCCACGGCUAACUACGUG
This 498-nucleotide ribosomal RNA is filed under the name uncultured bacterium. RNAcentral describes it as "partial 16S ribosomal RNA". It matches the Rfam family "Bacterial small subunit ribosomal RNA", at positions 27 to 507 of the family's 1533-position model. The record is from RNAcentral.